RNAcentral lists this ribosomal RNA (506 nucleotides) under uncultured bacterium. RNAcentral's name for it is "bacterial SSU rRNA". It matches the Rfam family "Bacterial small subunit ribosomal RNA", at positions 355 to 874 of the family's 1533-position model. The record is from RNAcentral.
UGGGGAAUCUUGGACAAUGGGGGCAACCCUGAUCCAGCCAUGCCGCGUGAGUGAUGAAGGCCUUAGGGUCGUAAAGCUCUUUCGCCUGUGAAGAUAAUGACGGUAGCAGGUAAAGAAACCCCGGCUAACUCCGUGCCAGCAGCCGCGGUAAUACGGAGGGGGUUAGCGUUGUUCGGAAUUACUGGGCGUAAAGCGCACGUAGGCGGACCAGAAAGUUGGGGGUGAAAUCCCGGGGGCUCAACCCCGGAACUGCCUCCAAAACUAUUGGUCUAGAGUUCGAGAGAGGUGAGUGGAAUUCCAAGUGUAGAGGUGAAAUUCGUAGAUAUUUGGAGGAACACCAGUGGCGAAGGCGGCUCACUGGCUCGAUACUGACGCUGAGGUGCGAAAAGUGUGGGGAGCAAACAGGAUUAGAUACCCUGGUAGUCCACACCGUAAAACGAUGAAUGCCAGUCGUCGGGGUAGCAUGCUAUUCGGUGACACACCUAACGGAUUAAGCAUUCCGGCCU